RNAcentral lists this transfer RNA (76 nucleotides) under Ectocarpus siliculosus. Its description in RNAcentral is "transfer RNA-Tyr (GTA)". It matches the Rfam family "tRNA". From Rfam's summary of the family: Transfer RNA (tRNA) molecules are approximately 80 nucleotides in length. Their secondary structure includes four short double-helical elements and three loops (D, anti-codon, and T loops). Further hydrogen bonds mediate the characteristic L-shaped molecular structure. tRNAs have two regions of fundamental functional importance: the anti-codon, which is responsible for specific mRNA codon recognition, and the 3' end, to which the tRNAs corresponding amino acid is attached (by aminoacyl-tRNA synthetases). tRNAs cope with the degeneracy of the genetic code in two manners: having more than one tRNA (with a specific anti-codon) for a particular amino acid; and 'wobble' base-pairing, i.e. permitting non-standard base-pairing at the 3rd anti-codon position. Lineage: Eukaryota; Phaeophyceae; Ectocarpales; Ectocarpaceae. The record is from RNAcentral.
CUCGACAUAGCUCAGCCCGGUAGAGCGACAGACUGUAGUCAUCUGUUGGUCCUUGGUUCGAAUCCGAGUGUCGAGA